Molecule: non-coding RNA, 72 nt
Organism: Picochlorum sp. SENEW3
Lineage: Eukaryota; Viridiplantae; Chlorophyta; Trebouxiophyceae
Source: the annotation of a GenBank genome assembly
GUCCCGCUAGCUCAGUGGAAGAGCGUCGCUCUCCGGAAGCGAAGGUCGUGGGUUCGAACCCCAUGCGGGAUA